GCGGCGGAUGGGUGAGUAACACGUGGGCAAUCUGCCCUAAAGACUGGGAUACCACUUGGAAACAGGUGCUAAUACCGGAUAACAACAUGAAUCGCAUGAUUCAAGUUUGAAAGGCGGCGCAAGCUGUCACUUUAGGAUGAGCCCGCGGCGCAUUAGCUAGUUGGUGGGGUAAAGGCCUACCAAGGCAAUGAUGCGUAGCCGAGUUGAGAGACUGAUCGGCCACAUUGGGACUGAGACACGGCCCAAACUCC
Molecule: ribosomal RNA, 251 nt
Filed under: uncultured Lactobacillus sp.
Lineage: Bacteria; Bacillati; Bacillota; Bacilli; Lactobacillales; Lactobacillaceae
Description: partial 16S ribosomal RNA
Rfam family: Bacterial small subunit ribosomal RNA
Source: RNAcentral